Non-coding RNA from Acanthosepion pharaonis, 112 nucleotides. The record is from the annotation of a GenBank genome assembly. NCBI's taxonomy places the organism in Eukaryota, Metazoa, Mollusca, Cephalopoda, Sepiida, Sepiidae.
ACAGCCACAUCACGUAGAAAAAACAGUUCCUGUACGAUCACCGAAGUUAAGCAACAUUGAGUCUGGUCAAUACCUAGAUGGAUGACCGCUUGGGAAUAUCAGGUGCUGUAAG